RNAcentral lists this long non-coding RNA (3570 nucleotides) under Sparus aurata (gilthead seabream). RNAcentral describes it as "lncRNA (ENSSAUG00010004802.1)". The record is from RNAcentral. Lineage: Eukaryota; Metazoa; Chordata; Actinopteri; Spariformes; Sparidae.
CAGCUGUCUGUGGCUCCACCCAGUGGCUGUAAUUUGAUUUGCAAGAAUCCACUGCUCCCGGUUCAAUACAACCAAUCAGAGCCAAGGGGAGUGUCUGAGAAGUGUCAAUCAUUCUCGUGCGCACCUGCUGGCAGCCCCCCUCCCUCCCGCAGGCGCAGUGUCUGCUCUCACCUGGUCAGAUAGUUAAAGCUUAAACACAAACUGUGAACAAUGGCGGAAAAGCAGCAGAGCUGAAAAAAUGCCCCACCAUUGCCCACAUCAAAGAGAAGAAAUAAGAACAGUGAUGAAGAAAACAGUGUAAAAAGAAAGAAUUGGUCCAAGCCAUAGAGAAAACUAGGAUAAAUAUCAGAGCUUCAUUUCAGAGGUGGAGGGAGCUGCGGGAUUUGUAAUGACUCAAGAGCGACACAGAGUUAGCUGCUUUUCUACUGGACAGGUAAGGACCCCUGCUUAAUAUAUGUUUAAUUCUAUGUUUUAACCACAGGGCUAUGGUGGCGGUGGUGUGGUGGUGGCAGUGGUCAGGGAGGGUAGGCGGGGCUCAUCUGCAUAGAUCCACAGGACUCAGAUCGUGGACAGCUAGAGAUCGAAGGGACGGAGAGCACAAAGUGUGGGCCUAUUACAUCCGCUGCUGUCUUCAAGGGAACGUUUCAUCACAGUUUGUCAAGGGAAAAAACAAACGAACGAAACAACACGUCACACGAGAAUACCAAGCAAAGAGGGACCAGAGGGCUAAAGUCUAUGAGCUGCAUUUUGUUGGAAAAAAUCCAGAGGCAACUUCCGUUUGAAAUCCGGCUCCCGAUGAUGAGUGUGUGAAGAGCAAACCCAUGGUCGUUAGGCGAUGUGAGGCGAGGUAAGGUCAAGCUGUUAAUGGGGAAGGGGGGGGGGGGGGGGGGAGGCGCUGAUACCAUGUUUUUCACAGCCAAGAACAAUUUGGAGGUGAGGUUUAAAUUCCAAUCUGGCUUUCACUGAUCAUUAGAGGCAAAAUGAGCUCCAGCAUCCUUAGCUUUUAGUUCUGGUGUAUCACUAGUUGCUCACAGUAUCAGAUUUUAUAUGACGAUUAAAUCUUUUCCGUCCAAUCUCUACAUUCCUAGCCAAAGAGGGGAGUUUAAACUCUUCUUAAUCCCUGCGUGACUCGCCCUCGUGUCAAUGUGCACUUUACUGGCAGCAGCCAUGCAAAAAAAAAAAAAAUGAAAAAGAAGAACGUUAUCGGAUGGAUCAGCCCUUGAAAACUCCUCACACUCCUCGCACGCUGACACUAACGCAGCCCUUUGCUAGUCUGAGACAGACAGCAGGUGAUCAGCUCGUCUAAGGGUACUUACGAGUCGACAGAUUGAUUGUUUGAUUGAUUGAUUGAUUGAGUGAUUGAUUGAUUGGCUGGUCACUCGCACUGACUUGGUAAAGCCAACGAUAGUGAAGAUGCCACAAAGUACACUAACACUGGCUGUUUUUUUGUUUUUUUUUCUCUAUAUUGCUCCAUUGCCAGUAUCUGCCUCACUGGGCGUACGCAGCAGAGAGGCACUCAAAGAUCCGGGGCCUCAUUUAUCAAACUGAGCACAGAACAAGUUCUAAAUGUGUGUGUAGAAAAUGUCGACACGUCCCCAGAAUGCCAUACAUAGUCAACCACUCGCUUGAAGGGCAACACUACCACCUUUUUGUUUUAAUUGUUCACAGGUCUUGGGGGGGGAGUAGUUCUGCAGAUGUGAAAAAAGUCAUGAAAAGCCUUUUGUGGCUCCACAGGAAGCUGCAUGUAAUCUGACAAACUGCCUCCAGUGAUGUCAUUCAUUGACAUAGUUGCAUUGUGGGUAAUAUAGGUGCCAGGUUAUGAAAAGGAAGUAGAAUUUGUGGAAUAAAAAAAGGCGACAUUUCUGGUUCUGCUGUAUCGAUUUUGAUCAUGUGUUUUUAAACUGUGCAUAAUGAGUCCUGCCUACAUUACCCACAAUGCACUUUAGUGACAUCACUGGAGACAAUUUAUCAGAACGCAUGCAGCUGCCUUCUACAACCUUUUCCACUAUGUAUUUCUUGUCAUGUGACCAUGAUUGAUUGAGCAUUGAAAGCUGCACUAUCAGGGAUCAAAGAGGACGACCACCAGUAAAUGUUUCCCUGCAGAUAUUAAGGAACUACAUUUAGCUAGAAAAUGAACUCCAGGGAGAUGUCUCUGGUGGAGUGGCAUACCGUGAUGAUGAUUAGCUAAUGGGUAGCUAGCAAAGCAUUGUCUUAGAAUGAGGCAUGUGUUUGGAUUUUAGCUUUUACUUUGACCCCUCAAAUCACAUCCUUCUUGAAACUAAGCCAACGCUGAAGCAGCUCCUGCGUCUGUUUUGCUGUGAGUUAAUGGCAUAAUUCCCUCAAGAUUAGGUUACAUUAGAUUAUAAUCAUUAAUGUGUUGGAAAUCGUUCAGUUUCUCCAUGGUUACUCCUGUACCACUGAGGUUUUGUUGGUGGGGAGUGGUUCUGAAAAUCCACAUCGUCAAGCACAAGAAUAAAUUGAUAUAUUGGAUUUCUGUGAGUAGAAACAAGCAUACGCACGUUAGAUAAAUGAGGCCCCUGGUGUUUUGGCAUCAUGCAACUAUUCUCUAGUGUACCUGGGUUGUCCCUGCAGUCUCAUGUACGACAACUCUGAGUACUCUGUGGCGUUAAGACGAGCCACCGGGCUGCCCGUCUGCAACACCGACUCUACCGUAUGAGGUAAACUGAACACUUUAGCAACCAGAGAACACCACUUCCUGUCCAGGAGCACUGCCUGGCGACUAAGCGACUCAGCACGAACUCCUGCAACACCGCGUGAGCAUUAGCUGACCUGUCACUACCUUUUCGCCACUCCAUCGCUCCUAACUUGCUCAAUGGCCCAACAAGUUAGAAGAGAAAGCGAGCCAGUCUCAGAGCACUUAAGGUCCUAAAACAUGUAGGCAUGUACUGUCGUAAGGGGUUGAAAAUAAGCUCUAUUGGGACAAAAUACAAGCUGGAUAUAGAAGAAUCACAUACAUUUUUUGUUUUCAGAGAAACAAGACCCACAUGAAUGAUGGAUGAGCUGGUCCUGGCAGGCCCUCGAGCGACAUCUCAUACAAGGUAGUAAGACGACGCCUCAGAGGUGAUGGAGAGUAGGUAGUGGAACACAGUUGAUAUGUCAAAACAUUCUGGCACCUGAAAAAAUGCAGCAAAAAUCUAAAGGUAAUGAUGAGUGAGAGCGCACACUUCAUCGAUGUCCGUUUUUUCCUCCGACGUGCCAUCCAUACACACACCGAAAACGGAGGGAGAGGGUGGAGAGGGGAGGAAGGGAAAGGGAGGGGGGAGGAGGGACAAUAUGCUAGAAAACAUUUGGAUGGAAUAGAAACAAUGAGCAGGUUUCAAGUGGCAAGAGGUCAGUUCUUUAGGGGGGUGGUUCUCAAACAUCUCGGUUCGGUCGAUGUCCAAUCCCAGCACCCUUAGCUCCAGUUAAAACCCUCCCACUUCCUGUGGUUGAUGGUUCAUCUGCGGCAGAUUGUAGAGGCAUUUCCCGCACGUCUCGCCAGAUGUGUCCCUGGCGGCCAUGACACUGUAAAAGCCAUAAUCCUCUCGAGCGACAUCACUCUUUACAAGC